AGUUGCUUUAUGACGCCGGGCGCGUGCGCAUUUAAAACAAUUCUCGAAAGAAAUGUUCACAAAUUAGUUUAAAUUCGAAAACGUUUCGGUAUGGACGCAAGAAAAAGGAAUUCUAAGAAAUAGAAAUUCUAAGCGAAACAACAACGAAAAAGGAAAAUAAUUUAAAUAGGGAUAAUAAUAUACAAAAACAUAACAACAAAAACACAACGGUAUUAAGGAAUCUGUUUCAGAAUUUCAGUGAGUUAAAUCUGUUAAAAAGUUCUGCGGUUAAUUUGUUUGUUUCUUUAACAAAAAACGUAAUCUAAUAUUUUAAUUAUUAUCAUCAGCUCAGCAGCAGUGUAGAAUAUAUUGGCCUAAAAUACUAGAUAUUUUAUGUUAAUAUAUUAAAUUCGAGUGACUUACGUCACCCAAGAUUUUGUACAUUUUCAAGCGGUAAGUGUUAAGUCAGCGCGUUCGUAUUUAUGGGACAUUGGAGAUUUGUACAUGGAUGCUAGUGGGGGAACGGCUAUUAAAAUUUCGCUGACUGGUUGGGUGUCAAGUUCGCAAGACUGAAGUUUCGAUGACUAAGGGUAUCCUCCUACUGCUUCCGGUGUUUGUGCUGAAGUUGCAAUCUUACGCCUUGGCUGGUGCAUCACAAGAUCUGUGUCACAGAUCAGAGAGCCUUAGGUGGACCAGGGGCGGU
Molecule: long non-coding RNA, 682 nt
Filed under: Drosophila melanogaster (fruit fly)
Lineage: Eukaryota; Metazoa; Arthropoda; Insecta; Diptera; Drosophilidae
Description: flamenco (Dmel_CR46037)
Source: RNAcentral